UACGAAGGGGGCUAGCGUUGCUCGGAAUUACUGGGCGUAAAGGGCGCGUAGGCGGACAGUUAAGUCAGAGGUGAAAGCCCAGGGCUCAACCCUGGAAUUGCCUUUGAUACUGGCUGUCUUGAGUAUGGGAGAGGUGAGUGGAACUCCGAGUGUAGAGGUGAAAUUCGUAGAUAUUCGGAAGAACACCAGUGGCGAAGGCGACUCACUGGCCCAUUACUGACGCUGAGGCGCGAAAGCGUGGGGAGCGAACAGG
RNAcentral lists this ribosomal RNA (253 nucleotides) under uncultured bacterium. RNAcentral's name for it is "partial 16S ribosomal RNA". It matches the Rfam family "Bacterial small subunit ribosomal RNA", at positions 524 to 776 of the family's 1533-position model. The record is from RNAcentral.